Molecule: ribosomal RNA, 235 nt
Filed under: uncultured bacterium
Lineage: Bacteria
Description: partial 16S ribosomal RNA
Rfam family: Bacterial small subunit ribosomal RNA
Source: RNAcentral
GAUCCUGGCUCAGGAUGAACGCUGGCGGCGUGCUUAACACAUGCAAGUCGAACGAUUGAAGCUGGAGCUUGCUCCGGCCGAUUUAGUGGCGGACGGGUGAGUAACGCGUGGGUAACCUGCCUCAUACAGGGGGAUAGCAGUUGGAAACGACUGGUAAAACCGCAUAAGCGCACGGUAUCGCAUGAUACAGUGUGAAAACACUCCGGUGGUAUGAGAUGGACCCGCGUCUGAUUAG